Molecule: ribosomal RNA, 378 nt
Filed under: uncultured bacterium
Lineage: Bacteria
Description: bacterial SSU rRNA
Rfam family: Bacterial small subunit ribosomal RNA
Source: RNAcentral
AGACGGAGGGCGCGAGCGUUGUUCGGAAUUACUGGGCGUAAAGCGCGCGCAGGCGGACGUGGCAAGUCGGUGGUGAACUCCUGGGGCUCAACCCUGGGGCUGCUGCCGAUACUGCUCGUCUAGGGACCGGUAGGGGCCGGUGGAAUUCCCGGUGUAGCGGUGGAAUGCGUAGAGAUCGGGAAGAACACCUGUGGCGAAGGCGGCCGGCUGGGCCGGAUCCGACGCUGAGGCGCGAAAGCGUGGGGAGCAAACAGGAUUAGAUACCCUGGUAGUCCACGCCGUAAACGAUGGGUGCUAGAUGCCGGUGGGAGCGACCCCUUCGGUGUCGUAGCUAACGCGUUAAGCACCCCGCCUGGGGAGUACGGCCGCAAGGCUGAA